AGUGCUAUGCAAAAUGAGAUUUUAUAGGUUAACAAACUUGCAGUUUGAAGGUUUCUCAAAGGACCUAAAAUACAACUGCCAUUUGACCUAGCAAUCCCAUUGCUGGGUAUAGAUCCAAAGGAAAAUGAAUCCUUCUACCAAAAAUACACAUGCACCUUUAUGGGCAUUUGCAACACUAUUCACAAUAGCAAAAACAUGGAAUCAACUUAGAUGCCCAUCAGUGGUGGAUUGGAUAAAGAAAAUGUACAUAUACAUCAUGGAAUACUACAGAAUCAUAAAAAAGAAUGAAAUCAUGUAUUCUGCAGCAACGUGGAUGCAGCUGGAGGUCAUUUUCCUAAGUGAAUUAACUCAGUAGCAAAAAACCAAAUACUGCAUGCUGUCACUUAUAAGUGUGAGGUAAACACUAGGUACACAUGGACACAAAGAUGGGAACAACAGACACUGGAGACUACUAGAUGGGGGAGGAAAAGAGUGGGGUAAGGGCUGAAAACUACCUAUUGGGUACCACACUCAGUACCAGGUGACAGGAUCAUUCAUACCCCAAACCUCAGCAUCACACAAUAUACCAAUGUACCAAACCUGCACAUGUAUCACCUAAACCAGGGUUUCUCAACCUCCAGGCCAUGGACCGGUACCAGGUCAUUCCCUGU
This 650-nucleotide long non-coding RNA is filed under the name Pan troglodytes (chimpanzee). RNAcentral's name for it is "long non-coding RNA NONPTRT000253". The record is from RNAcentral. Lineage: Eukaryota; Metazoa; Chordata; Mammalia; Primates; Hominidae.